UUGCGGGGCCGGGCCCCUCUGGCAUGCACCAAAACGGUGCUGCGAUGUCGGACCGCAUCG
Hyphomicrobium sp. MC1 is the source of this 60-nucleotide regulatory RNA element. It matches the Rfam family "terC RNA". The record is from Rfam. Lineage: Bacteria; Pseudomonadati; Pseudomonadota; Alphaproteobacteria; Hyphomicrobiales; Hyphomicrobiaceae.